RNAcentral lists this ribosomal RNA (352 nucleotides) under Ichneumonidae sp. HD-322. RNAcentral describes it as "partial 28S ribosomal RNA". RNAcentral also lists the same sequence under 1 other name. The record is from RNAcentral. Lineage: Eukaryota; Metazoa; Arthropoda; Insecta; Hymenoptera; Ichneumonidae.
CGAAUGAGGAGAUUCAUCGUCAGCUUAUUCAGUAUUAAUGCAGGCUAUGAUGUGAUAAUAGAAUCCUUGUGGUCACUAGAUUAUACUUGCUUGUAUUAUUUUUGCUGGGUAUGUCGGCGUGCACUUCUCCUCUAGUAGAACGUCGCAACCCGUUGGAUGUUUAUCUAUGGCUUGAAUGGUAGCCUUUGAUAUUUUUUAUAUUGAAGACCUUCGAUGUCCUGAUAAACUGUUUGACGGUAUACAUAUGGUAUUGAGCCGCAAUUAUUUGCGUUAGACUUGCCGCAAGUAUGACUUUAUUCUAGUAGUGCGGAUCUAAUGCCGUCGCUGGACAAAGUCUGCUGUUAGCUGUGUA